Molecule: long non-coding RNA, 652 nt
Organism: Capsicum annuum
Lineage: Eukaryota; Viridiplantae; Streptophyta; Magnoliopsida; Solanales; Solanaceae
Exons: 4
Source: RefSeq, a predicted model, not a curated record
GACUACAUUUCUAUGAAUAUCUCUUUCUUAUAAAAUGCUAGGUAUCUUCUAUAUGAGUGAGUGAGAAACACUUUUUCCAUAAGUAAAAAGUAACAAAUAGCUUGUGUAAGAGUAUAAGGAAGAUCUGAUUAAAGAUUUUUCCUAUGUUGUAAUAUCUUCAUGAGCCUCGACGAAGGAAGGACGGCACAGUAGCCUGAGACAGUGAGUCACAAUAGGCUAAACAGUUCUUCAUAGUUGGAAGAAAAAAUACUGCGGUGUUGAUACAACCAAUAUAGAAAGAAUGUCGAAAGGUUUGAAAGAGAAUGGACUUGAUAAAGAAACACUGGGCGUGAGUAAUAGCAAAAUAUGACACAAAUUCUUUCCUACUUUUACAAUAGCUUGCGGGAAACUCUCGAUUUAUGAAGCUUCGAGGAGAUAAUGCAGUAGCGGUGAGACCAUAAGGUUGUAACAACUGAUGGUCGAUAUGAAGAUGUUUGAAAAAAAAUGUCCUAUGUUAUUUCUUGGCAGCCUGUUAGUAUGGGCAUUACCGGAACCAGCAAUGGUGUCUAGAAAUGGAGAAAUCAAGGAAAAUGCUACAAGUUACCAUGGAAUAAAUAAAAUGAAAUAGAUGGAUUACUAUUUAUAUAUUCAAGUUCAAAUUGUUUGUUAUUAA